RNAcentral lists this ribosomal RNA (484 nucleotides) under uncultured bacterium. Its description in RNAcentral is "partial 16S ribosomal RNA". It matches the Rfam family "Bacterial small subunit ribosomal RNA", at positions 30 to 507 of the family's 1533-position model. The record is from RNAcentral.
AUUGAACGCUGGCGGCAGGCCUAACACAUGCAAGUCGAGCGGAUGAAGGGAGCUUGCUCCUGGAUUCAGCGGCGGACGGGUGAGUAAUGCCUAGGAAUCUGCCUGGUAGUGGGGGAUAACGUCCGGAAACGGGCGCUAAUACCGCAUACGUCCUGAGGGAGAAAGUGGGGGAUCUUCGGACCUCUCGGUAUCAGAUGAGCCUAGGUCGGAUUAGCUAGUUGGUGGGGUAAAGGCCUACCAAGGCGACGAUCCGUAACUGGUCUGAGAGGAUGAUCAGUCACACUGGAACUGAGACACGGUCCAGACUCCUACGGGAGGCAGCAGUGGGGAAUAUUGGACAAUGGGCGAAAGCCUGAUCCAGCCAUGCCGCGUGUGUGAAGAAGGUCUUCGGAUUGUAAAGCACUUUAAGUUGGGAGGAAGGGCAGUAAGUUAAUACCUUGCUGUUUUGACGUUACCAACAGAAUAAGCACCGGCUAACUUCGUG